This 83-nucleotide transfer RNA is filed under the name Candidatus Woesearchaeota archaeon. Its description in RNAcentral is "tRNA-Ser". It matches the Rfam family "tRNA". From Rfam's summary of the family: Transfer RNA (tRNA) molecules are approximately 80 nucleotides in length. Their secondary structure includes four short double-helical elements and three loops (D, anti-codon, and T loops). Lineage: Archaea; Nanobdellati; Candidatus Woesearchaeota. The record is from RNAcentral.
GCCGCGAUGGCACAAUCUGGUACUGCGCAGGAUUGCUAAUCCUGUUUCCUUUGGAUAUCUGGGUUCAAAUCCCAGUCGCGGCG